CUACGGGUGGCUGCAGUGGGGAAUAUUGCACAAUGGGCGCAAGCCCGAUGCAGCCAUGCCGCGUGUGUGAAGAAGGCCUUCGGGUUGUAAAGCACUUUCAGCGGGGAGGAAGGCGGUGAGGUUAAUAACCUCAUCGAUUGACGUUACCCGCAGAAGAAGCACCGGCUAACUCCGUGGCCAGCAGCCGCGGUAAUACGGAGGGUGCAAGCGUUAAUCGGAAUUACUGGGCGUAAAGCGCACGCAGGCGGUCUGUCAAGUCGGAUGUGAAAUCCCCGGGCUCAACCUGGGAACUGCAUUCGAAACUGGCAGGCUAGAGUCUUGUAGAGGGGGGUAGAAUUCCAGGUGUAGCGGUGAAAUGCGUAGAGAUCUGGAGGAAUACCGGUGGCGAAGGCGGCCCCCUGGACAAAGACUGACGCUCAGGUGCGAAAGCGUGGGGAGCAAACAGGAUUAGAUACCCGGGUAGUC
RNAcentral lists this ribosomal RNA (465 nucleotides) under uncultured Klebsiella sp. RNAcentral's name for it is "bacterial SSU rRNA". It matches the Rfam family "Bacterial small subunit ribosomal RNA", at positions 339 to 795 of the family's 1533-position model. Lineage: Bacteria; Pseudomonadati; Pseudomonadota; Gammaproteobacteria; Enterobacterales; Enterobacteriaceae. The record is from RNAcentral.